RNAcentral lists this ribosomal RNA (399 nucleotides) under Boophis luciae. RNAcentral describes it as "partial 16S ribosomal RNA". It matches the Rfam family "Bacterial large subunit ribosomal RNA", at positions 2032 to 2597 of the family's 2925-position model. The record is from RNAcentral. Lineage: Eukaryota; Metazoa; Chordata; Amphibia; Anura; Mantellidae.
AUCAGUGAAAUUGAUCUCCCCGUGAAGAAGCGGGGAUAUAAAUAUAAGACGAGAAGACCCCAUGGAGCUUUAAACCCAACAACACCUAUCUAUUUUAUUCCCCCAUAUUUAUACGGUUAUGUUUGUUUGGUUUUAGGUUGGGGUGACCGCGGAGUAUAAAACAACCUCCACGAAGAAAAGACUAAUAAUCUUUAUCAGAGAAAGACAUUUCUAAGAAAUAAUAUAUUAACUUUAAAUGAUCCGAUAUUCGAUUAACGAAUCAAGUUACCCUGGGGAUAACAGCGCAAUCCACCUUAAGAGCCCUUAUCGACAGGUGGGUUUACGACCUCGAUGUUGGAUCAGGGUAUCACAGUGGUGCAGCAGCUACUAAUGGUUCGUUUGUUCAACGAUUAAAACCCU